UACGUAGGGUGCAAGCGUUGUCCGGAAUUAUUGGGCGUAAAGAGCUCGUAGGCGGUCUGUCGCGUCGGCUGUGAAAACUCGGGGCUCAACCCCGAGCCUGCAGUCGAUACGGGCAGACUAGAGUGCUGUAGGGGAGACUGGAAUUCCUGGUGUAGCGGUGAAAUGCGCAGAUAUCAGGAGGAACACCGGUGGCGAAGGCGGGUCUCUGGGCAGUAACUGACGCUGAGGAGCGAAAGCCAGGGGAGCAAACGGG
Molecule: ribosomal RNA, 253 nt
Filed under: uncultured bacterium
Lineage: Bacteria
Description: partial 16S ribosomal RNA
Rfam family: Bacterial small subunit ribosomal RNA
Source: RNAcentral